RNAcentral lists this ribosomal RNA (243 nucleotides) under Triticum aestivum (bread wheat). Its description in RNAcentral is "partial small subunit ribosomal RNA". The record is from RNAcentral. Lineage: Eukaryota; Viridiplantae; Streptophyta; Magnoliopsida; Poales; Poaceae.
AUGGCGGCGGUGGAUCUGUCGAAGCUGCUCAAGGAGAAGCGGUUCUGGGCAGCCUCCUUCCUCAUCGCGUGGGCUGCCGCGCUCCAGGGGCACAUGAUGUGGGUGCAGCGGCAGGACGCCUUCAAGCACAAGUUCGGCGACCCCGAAGCCCCCAACAAGGUCACCGAGCAGGGGCAGUCGCCGGCCGACGACAGCCGAGGCGGCGAGCCGGAUAAGGCCACCGCCGACGCAGAGUUCAGAUAG